AGGCGCGAAAACUUUACAAUGCGGGAAACCGUGAUAAGGGAACAUCGAGUGCCAGCAUCUUAUGUUGGCUGUCCAGAUGCGUAAAAUGCAUCUGUUAGCAAGGGCCGGGCAAGACCGGUGCCAGCCGCCGCGGUAACACCGGCGGCCCGAGUGGUAAUCGUUAUUAUUGGGUCUAAAGGGUCCGUAGCCGGCCAGGUCAGUCCUCCGGGAAAUCUGGCAGCUUAACUGUCAGGCUUUUGGGGGAUACUGUCAGGCUUGGAACCGGGAGAGGUAAGAGGUACUACAGGGGUAGGAGUGAAAUCUUGUAAUCCCUGGGGGACCACCAGUGGCGAAGGCGUCUCACCAGAACGGGUUCGACGGUAAGGGACGAAAGCUGGGGGCACGAACCGGAUUAGAUACCCGGGUAGUCCCAGCCGUAAACGAUGCUCGCUAGGUGUCAGGCAUGGUGCGACCGUGAUUGGUGCCGCAGGGAAGCCGUGAAGCGAGCCACCUGGGAAGUACGGCCGCAAGGCUGAAACUUAAAGGAAUUGGCGGGGGAGCACAACAACGGGUGGAGCCUGCGGUUUAAUUGAAUUCAACGCCGGAAAACUCACCGGGGGCGACAGCAAUAUGAAGGUCAGGCUGAAGACCUUACCCGAAUAGCUGAGAGGAGGUGCAUGGCCGUCGUCAGUUCGUACUGUGAAGCAUA
This 688-nucleotide ribosomal RNA is filed under the name uncultured archaeon. RNAcentral's name for it is "bacterial SSU rRNA". It matches the Rfam family "Archaeal small subunit ribosomal RNA", at positions 337 to 1025 of the family's 1478-position model. The record is from RNAcentral.